Molecule: long non-coding RNA, 913 nt
Organism: Canis lupus familiaris (dog)
Lineage: Eukaryota; Metazoa; Chordata; Mammalia; Carnivora; Canidae
Exons: 3
Source: RefSeq, a predicted model, not a curated record
UUUCCUUCCUCCUUCCUUCCUCCAGGUCGGACACCCCUCAUUGACAGGCUCUAAUCCUCGGAUCGGAACUCCUUCUGCCUGGAAGAUUUGGCCGGCUUUUCCUUUGCUCUCGGCGUUCCUGAAAAGCCAAUUCGUUCUGAGCCGCCCUGACGGCGGGGCUGGGGGAGGAGGGCCGCGUCCAACCUCGGGCACCACCUGGGUGGUCGCCUACCUGUUACAAAGUGGCUGCUGCUCCUGGUACAUGCACAUUCGAUGCAGGAAAGAAGAAGGAAGAGGCAAAGGCACUGUGACCAUCCUUUUAGGAGAACUGCAAAGCUGUUCCCGCAACACCUCACCACAGCAGAUCUCCUAUGAUCUCCUGGGCCAGAAUUGGGGAAAUGACCAUUCCUAGCUGCAAAGGAGUCUUCUUGUUUUUAAAUGAAUUGUCCACUUCAUGGCUGGUUGUACUUUCCAAGAUGGCUGCAGUGAGGCCGCCCAUGACAGCUUCGCUUCUUAUGACCUGAGGUUGACACUCCUCCGACAGAGAGGUACAGUGUGUGUCCACUCCUUUCCAACAUGAGAGGGCCUGUGACCAUGAUAGAAGUGACACGGUGUGACUUCUACAGAGAAUCCGGUAUCUCCCUGAUUCUCUUGAAACACUGUUCUUGGAACCUGCCACUGUGCUUUGAAGAAGCCAAGGAGCCACAGAGAGCCGCAUGUGGGUGUUGUAGCUGACAACCCGGCUGUGGUCCCACCUGUCAGACGAUACCACUCACCAGUUGUGUACAUGAAGGAGCCUUCAGAUGAUUCCAGCUUGCAGUAGUCAUCCCCAGCAUUUGAGCUAUCCCAGCUUACGCUUUGUGGAGCAGUUGCUCCUUGCUGACUCCCACCCAAAUUGUAGGUUUGUGAGCAAAUAAAAAAGAUGAUUGUUGUU